UUUCCGUUGGUGAACCUGCGGAAGGAUCAUUACCGAGUGAGGGCCCUCUGGGUCCACCCUCCCACCCGUGUUUAUCGUACCUUGUUGCUUCGGCGGGCCCGCCGCAAGGCCGCCGGGGGGCAUCUGCCCUCUGGCCCGCGCCCGCCGAAGACACCAUUGAACGCUGUCUGAAGAUUGCAGUCUGAGCAAUUAGUUAAAUAACUUAAAACUUUCAACAACGGAUCUCUUGGUUCCG
Molecule: unclassified non-coding RNA, 235 nt
Filed under: plant metagenome
Description: partial contains small subunit ribosomal RNA, internal transcribed spacer 1, and 5.8S ribosomal RNA
Source: RNAcentral